ACCAAAACAGAAACCUGAUACCAAAUACGAAACCGCAGAAUUCAUUUUGAGCGAGCGUCUUCAUUUCAUUUUACAACCUUGAUAUAAAAAUCAUUUAUUGUUGAAAUAAUGCAGAACAAUUUUGCAAUUGUUAAGUUUCUAUUGACUGAUGAGGUUGCAGUUCUGCCAGUGACCUGGUUGUCAACAAAGGGAUGUGUGUGGCCUCCCUUAAAAGCGUAUGAAGUAAUGAAACUUGUUAUGAAGCUAACUAAACCUUCUCCAGAUUGGAUUUGCCACGAAGCAAAACUUUUGGGUGCUGUGAGGAGAAAUCCUUCGAUCCAAGACAUAGCAACAGACCAUGAAAUUGAAAAAUGUAU
Non-coding RNA from Parasteatoda tepidariorum (common house spider), 356 nucleotides. Lineage: Eukaryota; Metazoa; Arthropoda; Arachnida; Araneae; Theridiidae. The record is from RefSeq and is a predicted model, not a curated record.